This 438-nucleotide unclassified non-coding RNA is filed under the name Hevea brasiliensis (rubber tree). The record is from RNAcentral. Lineage: Eukaryota; Viridiplantae; Streptophyta; Magnoliopsida; Malpighiales; Euphorbiaceae.
UCACAUGCAGCAACUUGCAAAGUAGGGUGAAGAAUAGCCUCUUUGAAAAUUCAUCUUCCAUUGCUAUACAUGGGGUAUUUACAAGUUACAGAGGAUGAUAAAAGAAGCCUCAAACACUCUCAACCUCUGACAAGCUUUUGCUCAUCGGGCCGGUGUGUUCCAAUUACAUGAAAUUAGUAAAAAUUUACACUUUCAAAAAAAGCUAAAUCUCUUACACAUUUGUAUCACAAAAUUUGCCCUCCAUCUGGUUUUGAACAGCUUUGACAGCUGCAACUCUAGCAGCAGUGGCUGCUCUAUUUGCAGCCUGAACUGCCUUGUUCACUUGUUCAUCCACCGGACGAAGGUGAAUGGCACCUUCGGCUGUUUUUCNNNNNNNNACGGCUCUAAGGACAGAAUCAGUUAGUAGAGGCACAGGGCUCUUAAGGACACCACCAUCCC